UAGGGAAUCUUCGGCAAUGGGGGCAACCCUGACCGAGCAACGCCGCGUGAGUGAAGAAGGUUUUCGGAUCGUAAAGCUCUGUUGUAAGUCAAGAACGAGUGUGAGAGUGGAAAGUUCACACUGUGACGGUAGCUUACCAGAAAGGGACGGCUAACUACGUGCCAGCAGCCGCGGUAAUACGUAGGUCCCGAGCGUUGUCCGGAUUUAUUGGGCGUAAAGCGAGCGCAGGCGGUUAGAUAAGUCUGAAGUUAAAGGCUGUGGCUUAACCAUAGUAGGCUUUGGAAACUGUUUAACUUGAGUGCAGAAGGGGAGAGUGGAAUUCCAUGUGUAGCGGUGAAAUGCGUAGAUAUAUGGAGGAACACCGGUGGCGAAAGCGGCUCUCUGGUCUGUAACUGACGCUGAGGCUCGAAAGCGUGGGGAGCGAACAGGAUUAGAUACCCUGGUAGUCCACGCCGUAAACGAUGAGUGCUAGGUGUUAGGUCCUUUCCGGGACUUAGUGCCGCAGCUAACGCAUUAAGCACUCCGCCUGGGGAGUACGACCGCAAGGUUG
RNAcentral lists this ribosomal RNA (550 nucleotides) under uncultured bacterium. Its description in RNAcentral is "bacterial SSU rRNA". It matches the Rfam family "Bacterial small subunit ribosomal RNA", at positions 355 to 896 of the family's 1533-position model. The record is from RNAcentral.